Thamnophis elegans (Western terrestrial garter snake) is the source of this 1818-nucleotide long non-coding RNA. RefSeq lists it as uncharacterized. NCBI's taxonomy places the organism in Eukaryota, Metazoa, Chordata, Lepidosauria, Squamata, Natricidae. The transcript is spliced from 5 exons. The record is from RefSeq and is a predicted model, not a curated record.
GCUGUCUCUGUGUGACUUUAUCUGAAUAGUAAUUAGCUGGCAGGAAAAGACAAGCAGCUGAACAGAUAGGAAGUGGUUACUCUGCAAGAUCUGAGGUCUAAUGCCAAUGCAAAGAAGAACAGAACAAAAUGAAAGUUACACCUGCACCAUAGAGACUGCUGAGAACUCGAGAAGUUGGAUAGAUUCCUUAGUUGGUUGACUUCGUUGUACACGGAAGAACUCGGAUCUUGGAAGAUAUAUACUUAUAUAGCAGUUGAAACUAGUGUCCCUCACUCAUUUGUGACAAGCAACAAUCAGCUGCUGCUAUGACUCGUGUCUGUGUAUAUAUCAACACAGUGGUGCUAUUUAUCCGGUUCUAUCCAUUGAUGGAGGGAUGCUCCGCUCACCCGCCCAGACGUCAUCACAUCCCAUUUUUGAUGGUCUGCGCAUGAACGGACAUGCAAACCAGUAGCAAAGCACCCUCAAUGAAUGGACAUUAUGAAAACUGUAAUCCGAAAUAUCUGAGCAGCUCUAAGUGAAAGAAGGGAGAGUGCAGCUAAAUGAAAACCGGUGAUUUGUAAAUUAACCUCUGUGGAAGUUAUGGUGCUGGAAAUUACUGUUAUAAUGUAACUUUUUAUGUAUAGAAGCCCUAAACACCCUUUUUUAAAAACUCAUCAGCAUAGUAGCUCUAAGAAAGCAAAAUAUCUUAAACAAUAUUUAAAAAGGUUGAAUUAGUUACACCUCAAGGGAAUAUCAUGUGAUUAAUGGUGUUCAGCCACUGGGUGCCAAUGUUGUCUAAUAUUUCAUAAGCUGACAUUUUUUAUUAAUCCAGAUGUUCAUAUAUUAUAAUACUUGAAGAUCUAAGAUGAUUAGAGAUUUGAGCGUUUUAAAGAUAGGGGCUGACAUUCACUUUGAAAUAGGACCCUACCAAAUACUUGUAUUUAAUUUUCGUUCUUCUGCUCUCUCAUUUUAAGUAACAGCAAGUAUGUCUGAACUUUGAUUCUAGAAAGAAUUAUUUAAAAAGGUCCCCCCCCCCCCCACCAUACCUACAGCUAUUGUGUACCUAUUUCAUGUAAACAGUGAAAAUUGUGAAGAACCACUAGAGGUCAGUGUAUCUCAAUCAAAAUGUUAACAUUGCUAAAUAAGAUUUAGCUACAAGUCUAAGCUUUAAAACCCUCUCCAUUGUUCUUAACAUUUCCAUACAAUCUAUCAAUACACAACUCCCAAUAAAUUGUAAAAUAGGAUGUUUGUUUAAUUGAACACUAGAUUGUAUCCAACAAAUAUCCAAUGAAAAUCAUGCAAUUUGUCACUUCAGUGCAGUAAAAGGUAUUUAGACUGAAGACAAAAAUAAUAUUGUUAUGAGGUCAGCAGAUUGGUCAAGAUAAUCACAAAGAGCCUCUUUACUCUUUUAAACGUUUGUCUGAAAUCUUGUCUCAGGUUUCUGUAAGUUGAGCAGGGUGAGUUCCCAGAGGCCAUGCUUCUUAAAACAGACAAAGGGAGAGCUGAUUGCUUGGAUUGUGUUUCAAUAACCCCAGGAAGACAUGGUGAUUUGCCACAUCAUGCCCAAGCAUGUCCUGCAACUCUUGAAUGAUAAGUGGCUUCUCCUUUUGUCUUUCUCAGCAAAUGAAGAGAGGACAAUUUUUGAGCCCUUUGAGCUGUUACCUUUGAAAUCCUUUGAGGUUGGACUAUCUGGAUAAAUUCUAUGCACAGGUAAUCCUGUGCAAUGGCACUGAAGUUACAAUGGCAGUCAAAACAUGUCUUAUGAGUGUUUUUCACACGUCUCACCCAGUGGUGGGAUUCAAAUGUUUUUACUACUGGUUCUAUGGGCAUGGCUUUGUG